UACGGAGGAUGCGAGCGUUAUCCGGAUUUAUUGGGUUUAAAGGGUGCGUAGGCGGAUCGUUAAGUCAGUGGUCAAAUUGAGGGGCUCAACCCCUUCCCGCCAUUGAAACUGGCGCUCUUGAGUGGAAGAGAAGUAUGCGGAAUGCGUGGUGUAGCGGUGAAAUGCAUAGAUAUCACGCAGAACCCCGAUCGCGAAGGCAGCAUGCCGGCUUCCGACUGACGCUGAAGCACGAAAGCGUGGGGAUCGAACAGG
Molecule: ribosomal RNA, 252 nt
Filed under: uncultured bacterium
Lineage: Bacteria
Description: partial 16S ribosomal RNA
Rfam family: Bacterial small subunit ribosomal RNA
Source: RNAcentral